This 253-nucleotide ribosomal RNA is filed under the name uncultured bacterium. RNAcentral describes it as "partial 16S ribosomal RNA". It matches the Rfam family "Bacterial small subunit ribosomal RNA", at positions 524 to 776 of the family's 1533-position model. The record is from RNAcentral.
UACAGAGGGGGCGAGCGUUGUUCGGAAUCACUGGGCGUAAAGGGUGCGUAGGCGGGUCUUUAAGUCAGGGGUGAAAUCCUGGAGCUCAACUCCAGAACUGCCUUUGAUACUGAGGAUCUUGAGUUCGGGAGAGGUGAGUGGAACUGCGAGUGUAGAGGUGAAAUUCGUAGAUAUUCGCAAGAACACCAGUGGCGAAGGCGGCUCACUGGCCCGAUACUGACGCUGAGGCACGAAAGCGUGGGGAGCAAACAGG